This 653-nucleotide long non-coding RNA is filed under the name Rattus norvegicus (Norway rat). RNAcentral describes it as "long non-coding RNA NONRATT027832". The record is from RNAcentral. Lineage: Eukaryota; Metazoa; Chordata; Mammalia; Rodentia; Muridae.
GUACUUAGGGUCAAAAGGUAACUGGCCCAGUUCUAUCUCGAGAUUUGCCGUGUGUCUUCCAUUAGCGCGACCGUAUUUAUACCAUUUACCUUCCCUUUUACAAGGCUGUGGAUGAAGGUGCUUCUGCUCUUGUUUUCGGUGCCUGGAGUUUUCAAUAUUUACCAUACGUUGCUUUUUAUCAGGUCGACUGGGUCCGAAUGGAAGGGCGAAAACGUGCCCAAAGUGUCUAUAUAUACAUCCGUCCAACUUCUCCAAAUUGUCAUCCUCUACUUGAUACUCCUUUAUGCUCUUAAGGUAACCUUUCACAUCAUCAACAAAGUCGGCGAAGGGCUUCUGGUCAUGUCUAAAGACACCGUUCAGGAAAAACGGACUGAUGAACUGAUCCAGUUCUUUCCAGUGGUGAAAAGUAUCCAGUUCAUUCAGUAAAUACCAGUGAAUCAGCUGUUUAAAGUCAUUCAUCCUAACAGGACCCGCUUGAUUAACAGGGCUAAUGGAUUCCUGUCCAGCACAUUCAAACAUACCUGAACAAACCUUUCUGGUGGAAUGGGUGCCUCUGCAGUCAAACUUGGCCUUGUAUGUAUAUGAAUUUGUAGUUUGUCUAAUUUCUUCAGAAUGACUGGGCUUUUCUCUCCCUCUGUCCCUCUGUGCGGAAG